GCUCAGAUAGCUCAGUUGGUUAGAGCUUUGGUCUUAUGAGCCAAAGGUCGUGGGUUCGAGCCCCACUUUGAGCA
Transfer RNA from Tetrahymena thermophila SB210, 74 nucleotides. It matches the Rfam family "tRNA". Rfam says of the family: Transfer RNA (tRNA) molecules are approximately 80 nucleotides in length. Their secondary structure includes four short double-helical elements and three loops (D, anti-codon, and T loops). NCBI's taxonomy places the organism in Eukaryota, Ciliophora, Oligohymenophorea, Hymenostomatida, Tetrahymenidae. The record is from Rfam.